UCAAUUAUUCCCCCAAUCCUAAAGUCAUUAAACCCUCUUUCUCCCUCUCUCCAUAUUCUCUCUACCAAAUACGCAUGGUGCCACCACUCCUUUCGACGAUGGCCGCUCCUCUUUUGCGCCAUCGCCGCGUUGGCUACCACAGAUCAGCCUUGCACCACCACCGUCGCUUACCUCGCUCUAACCCCCACCUCGACCCAUUUGUUGGAUGUUUUAUCUGGCUGUGUGAAUCAAUGUUUUUUUUUUUUUUUUUUUUUUUUUUAAUUUUUUUUUUUUUUUUUUUUUUUUUUUUUUAAUUUUUAUCUUGGUUUCAAGUUGACAGGUGGAGGAAUUUUGUGGAUGAAAAUGCAGGAUGAAAAAGGUAAUAUGUAAGCAGUCGACUGGGUUGCUGAUUUGAGGUAUGAGGUUGUGGUGUUUGAUGCAACAGCAUAUGAUCAGCCAGCGCUGCUACCGGGAGAUUCAUUGGUUUUGCGAGUGUUGUUGGUCUCGAUCUGGGGAAAUAUGGUCAUGAUCUGGUGUCGAAAAAUUUAGGGUGCAUUUAGUUGGUUGCGUGCAGAUAGUGUUGCUGCCCGUGUGGUGGUGUAGGCUGUGAUGGUCGCGAUCGUGGUUGUGCAAUUUUUAGGCGACAACAGCGGUGCCGAUUUUGGGCGGCGAUGGUUUUGAGCGUGAGCACUGUUGCUAGCGGUGGAAAAUGUGUGGAAAAUCUAAACUUUUGGGUGUCGGAGUUUUUGAGGUAGUUGAUGGUGGUUUGUAGGUCACGGUGUUUGUAGUUGGUGGUGGUGCUAGGGUGAUGUGGCGGUGAUUGAUUAUUUUGGAUUUGAUUCUAUAUUAGUGUUUUGGGUGGUGUUGGCUGUGAUGCUGACUGCGGUGGUGAGGUGGUGGUGGUGGUCGGCAGUGACGACGGUGGUGGUAGUGGCAACGGUGAUGGUGUAGGAUUGAGUAUUUGUUAUCAAUUAUUUGGUUGAUUGUGAUCAAUAACUUGUAAGUCGUGACUUAUAAAAUUUGUAAUUUGUCGUGGAUAAAUAAUUUGUGACCUAUAAUGUUUUUCAGUUUUGAUCGAUAAAUAAAUUGUGGCCUACAAAAUUUUGUCUUCAUGACAAAGAAAUAUUUUGUGAUC
RNAcentral lists this long non-coding RNA (1114 nucleotides) under Olea europaea (common olive). RNAcentral's name for it is "long non-coding RNA (OEUR_LNC003905)". The record is from RNAcentral. Lineage: Eukaryota; Viridiplantae; Streptophyta; Magnoliopsida; Lamiales; Oleaceae.